GUUGAUCCUGCCAGAGGCCACUGCUAUCGGGCUCCGACUAAGCCAUGCGAGUCUAGGGGCUCCUUCGGGAGCACCGGCGGACGGCUCAGUAACACGUGGACAACCUACCCUCGGGUGGGGGAUAACCUCGGGAAACUGAGGCUAAUACCCCAUAGGUCUCGGGUACUGGAAGGUCCUGAGACCGAAAGCUUUGGCGCCCGAGGAUGGGUCUGCGGCCUAUCAGGUAGUUGGUGGUGUAAAGGACCACCAAGCCUACGACGGGUACGGGCCCUGAGAGGGGGAGCCCGGAGAUGGACUCUGAGACACGAGUCCAGGCCCUACGGGGCGCAGCAGGCGCGAAACCUUCGCAAUGCGCGAAAGCGCGACGAGGGGAGCCCGAGUGCCCUUCCUUCGGGGAGGGCUUUUCCGGAGUCUAAAAAGCUCCGGGAAUAAGGGCUGGGCAAGACGGGUGCCAGCCGCCGCGGUAAUACCCGCAGCUCAAGUGGUGGCCACUAUUAUUGAGCCUAAAGCGUCCGUAGCCGGACCCGUAAAUCCCUGGGUAAAUCCUGGCGCUCAACGUCAGGAAUUCCGGGGAGACUGCGGGUCUUGGGACCGGGAGAGGCCGGAGGUACUCCCGGGGUAGGGGUGAAAUCCUGUAAUCCCGGGGGGACCACCUGUGGCGAAAGCGUCCGGCUUGAACGGCUCCGACGGUGAGGGACGAAGGCCAGGGGAGCAA
This 715-nucleotide ribosomal RNA is filed under the name uncultured archaeon. Its description in RNAcentral is "bacterial SSU rRNA". It matches the Rfam family "Archaeal small subunit ribosomal RNA", at positions 7 to 722 of the family's 1478-position model. The record is from RNAcentral.